CCUUCGGGGUGAGUGGCAGACGGGUGAGUAACGCGUGGGAACGUGCCCUUCAGUUCGGAAUAACCCAGGGAAACUUGGGCUAAUACCGGAUACGUGCGAGAGCAGAAAGAUUUAUCGCUGAAGGAUCGGCCCGCGUCUGAUUAGCUGGUUGGUGGGGUAAUGGCCCACCAAGGCGACGAUCAGUAGCUGGUCUGAGAGGAUGAUCAGCCACAUUGGGACUGAGACACGGCCCAAACUCCUACGGGAGGCAGCAGUGGGGAAUAUUGGACAAUGGGCGCAAGCCUGAUCCAGCCAUGCCGCGUGAGUGAUGAAGGCCUUAGGGUUGUAAAGCUCUUUCGUCCGGGACGAUAAUGACGGUACCGGAAGAAGAAGCCCCGGCUAACUUCGUGCCAGCAGCCGCGGUAAUACGAAGGGGGCUAGCGUUGUUCGGAAUCACUGGGCGUAAAGGGCGCGUAGGCGGCUUUGUAAGUCGGGGGUGAAAGCCUGUGGCUCAACCACAGAAUUGCCUUCGAUACUGCAUGGCUUGAGACCGGAAGAGGUUAGUGGAACUGCGAGUGUAGAGGUGAAAUUCGUAGAUAUUCGCAAGAACACCAGUGGCGAAGGCGGCUGACUGGUCCGGAUCUGACGCUGAGGCGCGAAAGCGUGGGGAGCAAACAGGAUUAGAUACCCUGGUAGUCCACGCCGUAAACGAUGAAUGCCAGCCGUUGGCGAGCUUGCUCGUCAGUGGCGCAGCUAACGCUUUAAGCA
This 747-nucleotide ribosomal RNA is filed under the name Microvirga sp. Its description in RNAcentral is "bacterial SSU rRNA". It matches the Rfam family "Bacterial small subunit ribosomal RNA", at positions 83 to 866 of the family's 1533-position model. The record is from RNAcentral. Lineage: Bacteria; Pseudomonadati; Pseudomonadota; Alphaproteobacteria; Hyphomicrobiales; Methylobacteriaceae.